Sitophilus oryzae (rice weevil) is the source of this 85-nucleotide small nucleolar RNA. RefSeq annotates it as small nucleolar RNA snR60/Z15/Z230/Z193/J17. Lineage: Eukaryota; Metazoa; Arthropoda; Insecta; Coleoptera; Curculionidae. The record is from RefSeq and is a predicted model, not a curated record. The transcript has a single exon.
UCAAAAAACAUGAUGACAGCAUAGUUCAGAUGAAUAAACAUUGAUUACAACCUUUAUUGUCUUUCGCUCCUAACUGAUAUUAAAU